CUGUUUUCCGACAAUUCCACGCCGCAUCACGUCAUCCUUAUCCAUCCAUCCAUCCAUCUAUCCAAUAAUAUCAUCAAUCAUCUCCACUCCCCAUUUCUUUAUAUACCCACUCUCCAUACCUAACACAUAACCACCUAGAGGCCUCAAAUUGGGGGCUGAUUGCCGCCGGAAUCCGUCGGGAUUGGUGGGCUGGAAAUCACAUCCGCCGCCGCCUCCGCCGCCGAUUUCCAACUCCACCCAUUCCUACGGCCUCCGGGAUUUCCCCCCUCUUUUCGUCUCCUCAAAAUCUUCCAUUCAUUUCUCCGGCAAUCUUAUCCGAUCUGCCGCCGCCGGAGCCGCCACGACCUCUUAACAGUCAGGAUAAUGCUCAUCGUCGCAGCCAUCAACGGCGGCGCUGCCGCGGCGUUCGGGAGAUACGGGUAGCUAUCUGGCGGCGGCAUCACGCAAUUAUCGCCAUUGAAGUAAAUCCUUCUCGGAAAGGCCCAACCUUUGUCGAAUGUGAAGCCUUUGUUCUUCCCGAACAACAGCUCCGAUUGAACGUUGCCAGCCGGGCCGGAUUGCAUCAGCAAGUCGUUGUAAUACUUGACGCCCCAUAGCAUCGCUGUGUCAUCUGCAAACGGAUAAAUUGUUAGAUCAAUAACUCGGCGCGCGCAAUUUGCAUACAUUCGAAUUUGUACGAAUUGGUCGCUUACUUAUGACGCCGUAUUCUGAGAUCGAUCCGUAGUUGAAGCUGAAGAUCUGCGUAAGGUUGUCGAAGUUAGGAUGCUGCACGACGAGGCUCCAUUGCGAAUAGUUUUUCGCAAAGUUGAAAUUCGUGAUGGCGAUCUUCACGCGCCAAUAUUGCUUGUAGUUCAAUUUGACGUGCCAAUGGACUCGCACCGGGCACAUGUGGCGGGUGCAACGGAGAAUAGGCGUUGGAUUGUUCGGAUCGUUUGGAACAACCGAAGCUAUGCGAGGAGAGUCGGAGCUGAAACAAAAGAAAACAACAUCGAAAGAUCGAUCCAAAUAAUUUGAUCGAUCUCGAACAUUAAACCUCCCGCUCUGAUAUCAUAUUAAACGAUCAUUUCAUCUAAAAGUUCUUGAAGACUGAA
This is a long non-coding RNA of Andrographis paniculata, 1091 nucleotides long. RefSeq lists it as uncharacterized. The transcript has 2 exons. NCBI's taxonomy places the organism in Eukaryota, Viridiplantae, Streptophyta, Magnoliopsida, Lamiales, Acanthaceae. The record is from RefSeq and is a predicted model, not a curated record.